RNAcentral lists this ribosomal RNA (639 nucleotides) under uncultured bacterium. RNAcentral describes it as "bacterial SSU rRNA". The stretch from base 1 to 541 matches the Rfam family "Bacterial small subunit ribosomal RNA", at positions 338 to 873 of the family's 1533-position model. The record is from RNAcentral.
CCUACGGGAGGCAGCAGUAGGGAAUCUUCCGCAAUGGGCGAAAGCCUGACGGAGCAACGCCGCGUGAGUGAUGAAGGUCUUCGGAUCGUAAAACUCUGUUAUCAGGGAAGAACAAAUGUGUAAGUAACUGUGCACAUCUUGACGGUACCUGAUCAGAAAGCCACGGCUAACUACGUGCCAGCAGCCGCGGUAAUACGUAGGUGGCAAGCGUUAUCCGGAAUUAUUGGGCGUAAAGCGCGCGUAGGCGGUUUUUUAAGUCUGAUGUGAAAGCCCACGGCUCAACCGUGGAGGGUCAUUGGAAACUGGAAAACUUGAGUGCAGAAGAGGAAAGUGGAAUUCCAUGUGUAGCGGUGAAAUGCGCAGAGAUAUGGAGGAACACCAGUGGCGAAGGCGACUUUCUGGUCUGUAACUGACGCUGAUGUGCGAAAGCGUGGGGAUCAAACAGGAUUAGAUACCCUGGUAGUCCACGCCGUAAACGAUGAGUGCUAAGUGUUAGGGGGUUUCCGCCCCUUAGUGCUGCNGCACGCAUAGACACUCCGCCGUCGGGAGGUACGACCCGACCGACGGUUAGUAACGUACGAAAGGAAAGUUAGUACGGACGUAGAGACGUUGCCGACGGACGACGACGAGGGAGGAGGG